AGCUAACCGUUACACUUUUGAUCGCAGCUAUACCGAUAACAGCAUCGGAUGGAUCGACUGGAAAUCGAGUAGUCCAGUAAAGCCAUCCUGAUUCGUGGUAGUUCGUUUUUUAAUACUGCCACUUUUGGCAUGAAUCUUCUUAAUCAUUCAAUUGGCCCACGUUCGGUAGCAGGCCUUGCUGAUAGUUUGCAUCGCUUUGCGAUGGUUAGCUGUUUCACAAUCCGAACAGGAAAUCAUUUUUGUUCAAAAUUCCCAGUGUCUGCAAUAAAAUUGAAAGAGAUUAGUUUCCGGAGAAGAGUAUUGCAGAUUAAAGUUUAAUUAUUACCUGAAAUCACUAGGACAGUUUCCAGUUCGGAGAUGAAGAAACGUCUUGGUUACUUUUGUUGGGUAGAUAUCGAGAAAUUGGGUUGGGACAAGUUGCCACAUUUUGAAGUUGGCGCCUUGAAACCCAAAAAAACUCGGUCGCCGGUUCGCCACGAUUUGGAUAGCCCUUAUAGCAAUUCCGGCUAAUUAAGUUAGGUUAUUUGCACUACCAGAGCUAUGAGUGCCUAGAUUACAAAGACUGGUAGGCUGGGAUGUGCGACCAAAUCGUUCAAACGUUGCUCCGAAUGCCAACUCCAUGCUGUAGACCUUGUAUGUUACCGGCACUCAGUCAACGCAUCUGGAUCGGAACAAGUACGAAGCUUUUCUCGCUUCCGACGUCCUGCUAUUAUUAUACAUCAGUCAUCACACGAAUUACCGGAGCAUUCUGCGUUACUCACAAUCCUAUUUGAAAUGCCUUUCCCGCAAUAUUCCGAAUCAAAAAGAAACGCCAUUUGAGAUAAAAUACCUCAUCUAGUCCCGAAAGAUAGAGGAAAAUACGCGUACGGAAUUGACCAAAGUCAAUGUUAUGAACACAGUAAAACAAAAUCGAUAUCAAAACAUUUGUCAUUUGUCUGACGUUUUGUAGAACGACUGCGUGCAUUUUGCAGGAUGCCAUAGUCAGUACUAAAAUUUAUUAGAACACUUGCAGGAUGGCAACGAUCAGUACUAAAUAUAUUAACAACGCUUGCAGGAUGGUGUGGAUUUUUGGGUUAAUUCAUCCUGCAAACAAGCUAAAUCCGAGCUGCGCUGAGCGAGCGUGUACAUUUUUCAGCACGGUUUAGUACAUACACACGUCAUCCUGCAUGCGGUGACAGCUGCUGAUAGUCAUUUUGUUUGUGAACAAAAUGUUUUGCUUCGCAUACACACCAUUUCACUAUAGUGUAUGUUUUUUUGGCUGCUGAAAUUUGAAUGCUUUCAAAUUUUUCUGCUCCCGUGAUGGAUUUUCUGCAUCGGGUUGUGCCGGUGGUAGAAACUCAGCCCUUCAGGUCUGAGCCCUUAUUAUUCAGCCUUUCGAUGCGAUUCAAACGAUGUGUGGGUGCCGGGAUCAAAUCUUCGGAUAUCGUGCAUCAGCUACAAUAUUUUAUUCAGCUUUCGGUACGAGUCUCAGGUGACAUGGUGCUGAACGCUGCGUGGCGAUGGGUGAUGAAUAAAACAAAUAUGCACUGGUGAAGGCCCAAUUGGAAAUGCACUUUCAAACACUAAGUGCAUCUAAUCAGAUGAAAUGUUUAGGUUCUGGUCAGCUGAAUUACAAUCCGGAUUUUCUCGAUUUUGAAAGAAUGCCUGCCGAAAGCACGCAGCUCCUUGCAUCCUGCAUCAUCCAUAGGAUAAGAGGAGAUCCAAUAAUGGAUCGCAUGAUAGCGCCGGUCCGCAGGAAUCGACCGAAUAGUUUACCGGAGGAACACAAGGAACCUUGCAUAGCAAAACGAAGAUCAGCAACAUGCCAAAGGAGCUUCGUGGAUGACACUAUCGCGAAAUCACCUGCCGGUAGGAUUCUGCCCAACAACAAACUCCAAAUAAACGGUUAGGAAGGGGAGCGUCCGCUGUACCAAACCGGCCUACCAUGUAUUGGAAAACCUAAACAAAAUUGAAGAAAAAAGAAUGCACGGAUCGUCGCGAUAGGCUUUAAAGGGCACGCCUCCAGAGCAGUGCAUAAGUAUCAGGUCAUCUAAGAAUUCCUGUAUCAGAUAUUCUAGGACGAUGGAAACCUUGUUCAUGCAUUCCAAAGGAUGCUGAUGGUACCCCGUACCCACCGGCUUAUGAUAUGCAUACUGCUAAUCCCUUUCUGGAGCAUCAACUUUAGACUGGCUGCCACGACGCCGGAACGCUAAGGAAUAGUUUAUCGAAUUGAACUUAAUGCAGUUUAUUGUUUUAAUGGAAACGAAAAAACAAAUCUUUUCAAAACGAAAGCCUCAAAACUGCCCUAAAGUAAUAAAAAGUUGCUUACAAAUUGUAUUAAAAUAACUUACUGCUCUUCAUCAUGAUGAACACUAAGAUUUGAAAGCUUGAUAACUCUUCCGUAAUGGCUUACAUGAAACAGUUUUCUGUUGAACACGAUCAAGAGGUUUGUUCUUAUAUCGGUUGGAAAAUGUUAAACCACGUAAAAUCUUUGUGUAUCAACUAACAAAGCAUUUUCCAAAAUUCAGAGAUGUAGGUAUGUGCGUAUAAAGAACCAGUUUGCUUUUCGAUGCUAACCUUUAAAAGAAAAUUAUUCAAUUUAGCCACCCUUUGAACAAGGUAACCCGCUGGGGAAAGCAAUCGACAAUAUUAGAGACAACGCAAUGGAGUACAUUUUCAGAUCUUCGUUUAUGAGAAUAUUUGGUACUGACGUUUGUCGUGACGGGUUUUGCGUCCAGAACUCAUUCCACCGAUGAACUAGUGUUUCUGGCAUGUUGACUAUACGGAAGCUUACAAGGCUGGUCUUCAUCCGCACAGGACUAGAACUUUCGAUAUUUUCUUUUUUCAACUAUUUCAAAACCAGCCGCAGCAUUUGUCGGCCAGGAGAGCAAACUUGAAGUUUCCUGGUGCUUCAUUAUACUUUUCCUGUGUAUGCCUAUCUUGAUCCAAGUAAACCCUCUAAAGGAAUGGCAUAUGGCAAUGGGCCACGCUCAGUACCAUGCCUCAGAUGAAGCGCAAUCACGAUUGGCUAUUUCCAAGAAGAUUAUUCUGCAAUGAAACAGCCAAGAUAACGGUUCGAGGGUAGCUUCCUGAAUGCAUUCAGUAUCAUAGAAUCUCCAUGCACCACAUUGUAGUAGAUCAUCGCUUCUAUUUGUCGUUAUUCGAAUUCUGACCAGUUGUUUGGGCUUCUCAGGUAUUGCAAAUAAUCGAUCCGUAUUUCGCCACCAAUUUGGGAGAUAAGCAGCAAAGCACCUGUCGACCGGUCUCAGCUUUCGGAUGGUUUGUUUUGGGACCCUAAAAAUAAAGAUUACAUUAAUUCUGUUCGGGUUCACUGAUUACAGACUUGAUGCUUGAUUUUGAUUGGGAGAUUCAAGUGCCAAAAAACUUGGAUUCAAGUGAAGCAUUCCAAAUGAUUUUCAAUAUAUUUUAAUUUGUUUGUAUUUUGUUUGAGUUUAUUUUAAUGACAAUUAUUUAGAAAUGGCGCUCCCUUUCCGAAGACAGUUUUCUAACUCUUGCAUCAGGAAUUUUAAGCUAAUGAAUCAGGUAUAAAUGUUUUAAAUUUUACCUGGAGUUAAACGUCAACCGGACGUCCGGAUAAGCGUAGUACCUACUUUUGAUCGCAGCUGCACCGAUAACAUCGUUUCGGAUGGAUCGACCGAAAAUCGAGUAAUCCGGGAAAGCAAUCUUGAUUCGCGGUAGUUCCUUUUUCAACACUGCCACUCCUGGCAUGAAUAUUAUCAUUCAUGCAAUCGGAUCGCAUUCGGUAGCAGGCCUCGGUGAUCUUUUGCAUCGCCGUGCGGUCUAUAUUUACAGAGGUAUGCCUAUCUGUUUCAAAAUUCGAACAGGAAAAUGUCUGCAAGAAAAUUCAAAUAUAUAAGUUUCCGGAAAAGAGUAUUACAGAUAAAAGUUUAAUUCAAACCUGGAAAUUAAUUUUUCGGAAGCAAAUUGACCAAAGCCAAUAUUACGAAAUCGACAGUAAAAGAAAUCGAAAUCAAAACAUUUUUCUGACGUUUUCAAGAACGGCUGCGUGCAUUUUGCAGGAUGGCAUGGUCAGUACUAAAAUUAUUAGAACAUUUGCAGGAUGGCAACGAUCAGUACUAAAAAAAUUAAGAACGCUUAUGCUGGAUUGUGUGGAUUUGUGGGUUAAUUCAUCCGGCGCCAUCCUGCAAACCAGCGAAAUCCUAGUUAAACCGAGUAAGCGUGUACAAUUUUCAGUACGUUUUAGUACACACAUGCCAUCCUGCAUGGGGUGACAGCUAGAAUUUGUUUGUUAUCAUUGUUUUGCUUCCAUUUUAAAUUGCACUUUAAAACUCUUUGAAAAAUCUAGUAAACGAUAGUUAUAAUAUCCGUCGCGAUUUCGUGCGGUGUCGAAGCCACCAGUUUAUCAACAAAUUCGUGCGUCCAAUAAGAAAACCAUUUUACCGUUCAAAAAUGCCUUGGUGUUCAACGCUUCGCUCAGUGCUACCGGUUCCCCCCAUCCGAUGAGAUUCCGGCACCAGCACCGGCGAAGCAAGAAGGUGCGGUGCAUUCAUUAAAGAUUAAACUAGCUUCCAAAAUUCAAUCAUCGCAAAACUACCCGAAAACAGAAUCUCGAACAACAAACCCUUCCUAUAACACGACCACGGAAAGUUCCUGCUGCAUGAACCUCAAUACACCGAUGAUGAUGAAGAGAUGCCAAUGCGUCCGGGUUCGAAACUUCCAAGAAGGCUCUGCCCGGGGCCAGCUCCGAGUCGGAAUUCAAUUCGGUUCCGAAACCAGAUGACUUCCGUUAGAUGACAUGGUUCCGGGAGUUCAAAGAAGGCCAAAAUGCUCCGCUCGGCAGGAGUGUCGGAAAUUGGGAACAGCACAUCAAAAAAAUCGGUGCCAAGCAUAGAUUUGCAGUGUAUUGCAGCUCCGAUGCAGGCUCACCUGAGCUGGUCAACUGUAACACUUGCGAAUUUCUGAAAUCCUAAAUUCUGAAAGCUGAAACAUGAAAGAUGAAAUUUGAGUGAGUUAGGUUCAGGUUCAGCUUCAGGUUCAACUACCCGGAAGACGACCCGUGAUUAAGGAUGAAAUGACGAAUAUUCCAAUUCCAGCCCUAGUUAGCGGGAAGAAGCGCAACGCAAAGAGCCACGGCACGGCGCUGAAAGUUCGGCAAGUUACCAAUGAAAUGAUAAAGAUCCAAGAAACGGGGUGAUGUAUUUACGAUGCUGUUCCGUGUACAGAAAACUAUGACAAGCUGUUAAAUAGAUAUUUAGAGAACCAUGCCUUAUCUGUUAACGUACAUUUUCUGUGUUCUCCGAGGAUAGUUUAAAAACAAAUGGGUGACAAAAAAGACCAUCAUCGAAACGCUCAGCUCAAAUACCACAGAAGAUUUCAAUUGAGGCUAAGUUGCUGAAGUUAUUCGGUACUACGGUACCAGCCCAUCAAUAGCUCAGGUUCCCCCAAUGUUAAACAUUUCUGAGAUAGAGGUUGGCCUUUGUGGCAGCAAUGUCCGUAACAACCAAUGUGCGAUCUCCCGACCCGAGUUGGCACAAAACUUCAGUGGCUAAAAUCAUCGUAUAUCAAGAGUUGUUUCAAGAGUCUGUUGUCAUCCUUGGAUGUGGUCCAUUUUUUGCUAUCACUUCAAAAAAGCUACCAGCUAUCAUUGCCACUUUCUAUAUUUUAGGGUGGUAAAACAGUCCUCAAAUUUGGAAACUAGGAAAGGAAGCGGUGUUGUUGGAAAAUUGUUUGAUGCCAAGCUGAAUUAGGAACUGAAUAACGCCGAAAGAAAAUCAGUUCGGUCUAAGUUACUAUCUCAACUAUAAAUAUAAAAUUCCAAUAGGAAAAAAAUCGAAUUAAACUUAUUUAAAGAAAUUUUUAGAUUUCCUUUUGAUUAUUGAAAUGAAAACCGAGAUGAAAAUCCCAGGUUUCUUGUUUAGCGGCGUCCACUUAUGUGAUGUGUUUGGAAUUUUGGACUGCUAGAUGAAAUCGAAAAUACCUUUCUUGAAACAUAUCCGCUUCAUACAAUUUUAGAAAUUUCCAAUUUGACUAUAUUAUUGAGUUCAGAGGAAAAUUAAAAAAAAAAAUAACAUAACAAGAUAGAAGCAGCCAUAUAUUUAAAAUACGGAAUUUUAUGGAAUAUGCUUAAAAAUUGUAUCGGUGUGCCAUAUUGUAUGUUACUUUUGUAUGGAAGGAAGGGCUUAUUUAAGUCAAAGCGAUUUGAAAGUAUUGUUGAAACCAUCUCCUACUCCGAAUACUCUCAUACACCCAACUUCACGUUGAUCGGAACAGUAGUUUUCGAGUCUAUAGAGAACAAUCAGACAGACAGACAAACAUUCAUUUUUAUAUAUCUAUAAAGAUUUUUUUUUCGGAAAAUAAUUUUUUUCAGCUUUCCCGGAGACUUCAAGCUUCAAUACUUGUUACUUAUGUGUGUGACUUAAAAAAACUGAACAAAUA
Molecule: long non-coding RNA, 6396 nt
Organism: Uranotaenia lowii
Lineage: Eukaryota; Metazoa; Arthropoda; Insecta; Diptera; Culicidae
Exons: 7
Source: RefSeq, a predicted model, not a curated record